CAAGUCAGAACGCACAGCGAAAGGUGCUUGCACCUUUCAAGUGAGUGGCGAACGGGUGAGUAACACGUGGACAACCUGCCUCAAGGCUGGGGAUAACAUUUGGAAACAGAUGCUAAUACCGAAUAAAACUUAGUAUCGCAUGAUACCAGGUUAAAAGGCGCUACGGCGUCACCUAGAGAUGGAUCCGCGGUGCAUUAGUUAGUUGGUGGGGUAAAGGCCUACCAAGACAAUGAUGCAUAGCCGAGUUGAGAGACUGAUCGGCCACAUUGGGACUGAGACACGGCCCAAACUCCUACGGGAGGCUGCAGUAGGGAAUCUUCCACAAUGGGCGAAAGCCUGAUGGAGCAACGCCGCGUGUGUGAUGAAGGCUUUCGGGUCGUAAAGCACUGUUGUAUGGGAAGAAAAGUUAAGGUAGGGAAUGACCUUAGCCUGACGGUACCAUACCAGAAAGGGACGGCUAAAUACGUGCCAGCAGCCGCGGUAAUACGUAUGUCCCGAGCGUUAUCCGGAUUUAUUGGGCGUAAAGCGAGCGCAGACGGUUGGUUAAGUCUGAUGUGAAAGCCCGGAGCUCAACUCCGGAAAGGCAUUGGAAACUGGUCAACUUGAGUGCAGUAGAGGUAAGUGGAACUCCAUGUGUAGCGGUGGAAUGCGUAGAUAUAUGGAAGAACACCAGCGGCGAAGGCGGCUUACUGGACUGUAACUGACGUUGAGGCUCGAAAGUGUGGGUAGCAAACAGGAUUAGAUACCCUGGUAGUCCACACCGUAAACGAUGAACACUAGGUGUUAGGAGGUUUCCGCCUCUUAGUGCCGAAGCUAACGCAUUAAGUGUUCCGCCUGGGGAGUACGACCGCAAGGUUGAAACUCAAAGGAAUUGACGGGGACCCGCACAAGCGGUGGAGCAUGUGGUUUAAUUCGAAGCAACGCGAAGAACCUUACCAGU
RNAcentral lists this ribosomal RNA (940 nucleotides) under Latilactobacillus fuchuensis. RNAcentral's name for it is "bacterial SSU rRNA". It matches the Rfam family "Bacterial small subunit ribosomal RNA", at positions 58 to 978 of the family's 1533-position model. The record is from RNAcentral. Lineage: Bacteria; Bacillati; Bacillota; Bacilli; Lactobacillales; Lactobacillaceae.